GACGAACGCUGGCGGCGUGCCUAAUACAUGCAAGUAGAACGCUGAAGCGAGGAGCUUGCUCUUCUUGGGUGAGUUGCGAACGGGUGAGUAACGCGUAGGUAACCUGCCUUGUAGCGGGGGAUAACUAUUGGAAACGAUAGCUAAUACCGCAUAACAAUGGAUGACCCAUGUCGUUUAUUUGAAAGGGGCAAAUGCUCCACUACAAGAUGGAACUGCGUUGGAUUAGCUGGUAGGUGAGGUAACGGCUCAACUAGGCGACGAUACAUUGCCGAACUGAGAGGGUGGUCGGCCAACCUGGGAGUGAGACCAGGCCCAGACCCCCAGGGGAGGCAGCCGGAGGGAAUCUUCGGCCAUGGGGGGAAAACUGACCGCACAACGCCGAAUGCGUGAAGAAGGUUUUCGGAUCGUAAAGCUCUGUUGUAAGUCAAGAAACAGUGUGAGACUGGAAAGUUCACACUGUGACGGUAGCUUACCAGAAAGGGACGGCUAACUACGUG
RNAcentral lists this ribosomal RNA (497 nucleotides) under uncultured bacterium. RNAcentral's name for it is "partial 16S ribosomal RNA". It matches the Rfam family "Bacterial small subunit ribosomal RNA", at positions 28 to 507 of the family's 1533-position model. The record is from RNAcentral.